Non-coding RNA from Carica papaya (papaya), 2056 nucleotides. The record is from RefSeq and is a predicted model, not a curated record. Lineage: Eukaryota; Viridiplantae; Streptophyta; Magnoliopsida; Brassicales; Caricaceae.
UCAGCAUAAACAAUUCAAGAGCGUCUUAGCAUAAACAGCAUGGUUUUUUAGCUCAAACAGUUCUCCCUAGUUUUUGGCACUCAGCAUUCUGCAACAGUUACAGAUAUAGAAUUAUAGGAAAGUACUAGCACAUCCAAAACUACGUCGUCUUUCUCACACCACGUGCACGAAGCCAUACAUACAUGUGUGCUUUAAACCCACACGUACAGGUUUUAACAAAUAUCCUUGCGAGUCGUAGUAGGCGGGAAACAAAUCGCCCAAAUCAAAUCUGAAUCCCCUCAAACCAUUCUGCCGACCGUUCCGAAACCAUGGGUAUAAAGGGUUUAACAAAGCUUCUAGCGGACAAUGCCCCAAAGGCUAUGAAAGAGCAGAAAUUUGAGAGCUACUUCGGUCGUAAGAUUGCAAUUGAUGCUAGCAUGAGUAUCUAUCAGUUCCUUAUUGUAGUGGGAAGAAGCGGGACUGAGAUGCUCACAAAUGAAGCUGGUGAAGUCACCAGUCACUUGCAGGGCAUGUUCACUCGCACCAUUCGGCUUCUUGAAGCUGGAAUGAAGCCUCUGUAUGUUUUUGAUGGGAAGCCUCCUGAUUUGAAGAAGCAAGAGCUGGCAAAGCGUUACUCAAAGAGGGCUGAUGCUACUGAGGAUUUGGCUGAUGCCGUGGAGAUUGGAAAUAAAGAAGACAUCGAGAAAUUCAGUAAAAGAACAGUAAAGGUAACACAGCAGCACAAUGAGGACUGCAAAAGACUUUUAAGACUUAUGGGAGUGCCAGUAAUCGAGGCUCCUUCCGAAGCAGAGGCACAAUGUGCUGCACUUUGCAAAUCAGGAAAGAUUUAUGCUGUGGCUUCCGAAGACAUGGACUCCCUAACUUUUGGAGCACCUAGAUUUCUUCGCCAUUUAAUGGAUCCAAGCUCAAGAAAAGUCCCUGUCAUGGAAUUUGAAAUUGCCAAGAUUUUGGAUGAACUCAGCCUUACAAUGGAUCAGUUUAUUGAUUUGUGCAUUCUCUCUGGUUGUGAUUAUUGUGACAGCAUUCGAGGUAUUGGAGGACUAACUGCACUGAAGCUCAUGCGUCAACAUGGCUCUAUAGAGAAAAUACUGGAAAACAUUAACAAAGAGAGGUACCAAAUACCAGAUGAUUGGCCCUAUCAAGAAGCUCGACAGCUGUUUAAAGAACCAGUGGUUUUAACUAAUGAGGAGCAACUUGAUGUUAAGUGGACUGCUCCGGAUGAGGAGGGGUUAAUUAACUUUCUGGUAAAUGAGAAUGGGUUCAACAGUGACAGAGUGACGAAGGCUAUUGAAAAAAUUAAAGCGGCCAAGAAUAAGUCAUCACAGGGCCGAUUGGAAUCAUUUUUUAAGCCAGUUGCUAACACAUCUACUACUAUCAAACGAAAGGAAAGCAAAUGCAUUCUUCGAUCUCCUAAACCGACUAUCAAGUUUAGUGUAUUCUCUCCUCAAGUUUGUAGUUCAAAGCCAGAUGGCACUGGCAGCUUGAGCUUGCCAACUCUGGUUCGGGUUCCUAAACAUUUCAUUCCAUUAUCCAGAGGUGUUUGCUUGGGGACAAGAAGCUGAAAACCCUGGGAACACCUAAGGUCACUGCUAAAGAAAGUACUAUUAAGAAAUCAAAGGUAGCUGGUGGUAGGAAGAAGUAGUUUCAUGGCAUCAAAAUAGAAGGAUAAACCUUGCUGCUAUAGUCAGGUUGGGUUUGUGGAUGUAGAUGGGUGUAAAGUUAAAAGACUUGCUUGUCAAAGAAACCUUAUUAUUUCUAGUUGAGAUUCCUGGCACAGCAUCCUUGUAUGGGACGAAGAAUUGCUUUUGGUUUCUGUUUUGUUUUGCAGACCCUACAUUAUUUUCAUUCAGCAUUCAGCAACUAUGGUUUUAGUUAUAGUAACAAAGAAUUGGAAGUCCCAUAUCGGUGGGAACAACAGGACAGGCAAUUGUGGACCUAUUUGGUUCGUGAUACAUAUGCGAUAGCUCAAAAGGUUUCAGAAAUAGAAGCCAACAUUAAGUGUCUCCCUUGAUACUCCAUAUUAACUAAGAAACUGAGAGAACCAAUUAAUGCCCAA